RNAcentral lists this ribosomal RNA (860 nucleotides) under Xylodon flaviporus. Its description in RNAcentral is "partial large subunit ribosomal RNA". It matches the Rfam family "Eukaryotic large subunit ribosomal RNA", at positions 66 to 915 of the family's 3401-position model. Lineage: Eukaryota; Fungi; Basidiomycota; Agaricomycetes; Hymenochaetales; Schizoporaceae. The record is from RNAcentral.
UAACAAGGAUUCCCCUAGUAACUGCGAGUGAAGCGGGAAAAGCUCAAAUUUAAAAUCUGACAGUUUCACUGUCCGAGUUGUAAUCUGGAGAAGCAUUUUCCGUGUCGGACCGUGUACAAGUCUCUUGGAAUAGAGCGUCAUAGAGGGUGAGAAUCCCGUCCAUGACACGGACUACCGAUGCUUUGUGAUAUGCUCUCGAAGAGUCGAGUUGUUUGGGAAUGCAGCUCAAAAUGGGUGGUAAAUUCCAUCUAAAGCUAAAUAUUGGCGAGAGACCGAUAGCGAACAAGUACCGUGAGGGAAAGAUGAAAAGCACUUUGGAAAGAGAGUUAAACAGUACGUGAAAUUGUUGAAAGGGAAACGCUUGAAGUCAGUCGCGUUGAUUGAGACUCAGCCUUGCUUUGCAUGGUGUACUUCUCAGUUAACGGGUCAACAUCAAUUUCAGUUGGUGGAUAAAGGCAUUGGGAAUGUGGCACCUUCGGGUGUGUUAUAGACCUUUGUUGCAUACACUGACCGGGAUUGAGGAACGCAGCACGCCACUAAGGCCAGGGGUUCGCCCCAUGUAACGUGCUUAGGAUGUUGGCAUAAUGGCUUUAAGCGACCCGUCUUGAAACACGGACCAAGGAGUCUAACAUGCCUGCGAGUAUUAGGGUGGAAAACCCUUGUGCGUAAUGAAAGUGAAAGUUGGGACCUCUUGCGAGGGCACCGACGCCUGGCCCUGAAGUUUACUGACGGCGCUGCGGUAGAGCAUGUAUGUUGGGACCCGAAAGAUGGUGAACUAUGCCUGAAUAGGGUGAAGCCAGGGGAAACUCUGGUGGAGGCUCGUAGCGAUUCUGACGUGCAAAUCGAUCGUCAAAUUUGGG